GAUGAAGAACGCAGCGAAAUGCGAUAAGUAAUGUGAAUUGCAGAAUUCAGUGAAUCAUCGAAUCUUUGAACGCACAUUGCGCCCCCUGGUAUUCCGGGGGGCAUGCCUGUUCGAGCGUCAUUUCACCACUCAAGCCUCGCUUGGUAUUGGGCAACGCGGUCCGCCGCGUGCCUCAAAUCGACCGGCUGGGUCUUCUGUCCCCCAAGCGUUGUGGAAACUAUUCGCUAAAGGGUGUUCGGGAGGCUACGCCGUAAAACAACCCCAUUUCUAAGGUUGACCUCGGAUCAGGUAGGGAUACCCGCUGAACUUAAGCAUAUCAAUAAGCGGAGGA
This 331-nucleotide unclassified non-coding RNA is filed under the name soil metagenome. RNAcentral's name for it is "partial contains 5.8S ribosomal RNA, internal transcribed spacer 2, and large subunit ribosomal RNA". The stretch from base 1 to 120 matches the Rfam family "5.8S ribosomal RNA", at positions 35 to 154 of the family's 154-position model. The record is from RNAcentral.